Molecule: long non-coding RNA, 437 nt
Filed under: Mytilus galloprovincialis (Mediterranean mussel)
Lineage: Eukaryota; Metazoa; Mollusca; Bivalvia; Mytilida; Mytilidae
Source: RNAcentral
GUUUUCACGGUUCAUUGCUCAGUUUUAAGUUUUUGUGUUUUGGUCUAUUUUCUUAAACUAUAAGCAAUAGGUCAACUAUAUUUGUUGUAUGGAAGCAUUGUUAGCUGUACAUGUCUGCCUGGCAUAUGGUUCAACUGACCUUGACCUCAUUUUCAUGAUUCAUGUUAAGUUUAUGUGACAGUCGUAAUAAAGCUUUAUAUUUAGGAGUAUCAACAUAAUAUCAAUGAUUAGUAAAGAAGGCGAGACAUUUCAGUGUGUGCACUCUUGUUAAAUUUUUAAUAUAAUAUAACAAGGGUAUUUUUUUUUUAUAUUUUUCAAAUAAUUUUUAGUAAUAUUUGUCUAUAUCUAAAUGUUUUGUUAAGAAGCCGAGUCACAAUAAAAGUUUUGAUUAACUUCAGGUUGCAUCUUGUAGGGUGGAGGUAGUGAUUCAGCACUAC